This 71-nucleotide transfer RNA is filed under the name Urocitellus parryii (Arctic ground squirrel). RNAcentral's name for it is "Spermophilus parryii (Arctic ground squirrel) tRNA". It matches the Rfam family "tRNA". From Rfam's summary of the family: Transfer RNA (tRNA) molecules are approximately 80 nucleotides in length. Lineage: Eukaryota; Metazoa; Chordata; Mammalia; Rodentia; Sciuridae. The record is from Rfam by way of RNAcentral. RNAcentral also lists the same sequence under 2 other names.
GUAGUUGUAGCUCAGUGGUAAAGCACUUGCCUCACAUGUAUGAGGCCCUGGGUUCGAACCUCAGUAUCACA